UUACGGUCAUAGCACAUUGAAACAUCAGUUUCCGUACGAUCGCCGAAGUUAAGCAACUUUGAGCCUGGUCAACACCUAGAUGGGUGACCACUUGGGAAUAAUUGGAG
Molecule: ribosomal RNA, 107 nt
Filed under: Acanthosepion pharaonis
Lineage: Eukaryota; Metazoa; Mollusca; Cephalopoda; Sepiida; Sepiidae
Source: RNAcentral